CCUCGGAUCAGGUAGGACUACCCGCUGAACUUAAGCAUAUCAAUAAGCGGAGGAAAAGAAACCAACAGGGAUUGCCCCAGUAACGGCGAGUGAAGCGGCAACAGCUCAAAUUUGAAAUCUGGCCCCAGGCCCGAGUUGUAAUUUGCAGAGGAUGCUUUUGGCGCGGUGCCUUCCGAGUUCCCUGGAACGGGACGCCAUAGAGGGUGAGAGCCCCGUACGGUUGGACACCAAGCCUUUGUAAAGCUCCUUCGACGAGUCGAGUAGUUUGGGAAUGCUGCUCUAAAUGGGAGGUACAUUUCUUCUAAAGCUAAAUAUUGGCCAGAGACCGAUAGCGCACAAGUAGAGUGAUCGAAAGAUGAAAAGCACUUUGAAAAGAGGGUUAAACAGCACGUGAAAUUGUUAAAAGGGAAGCGCUUGUGACCAGACUUGCGUCCGGUGAAUCACCCAGCUCUCGCGGCUGGGGCACUUCGCCGGCACAGGCCAGCAUCAGCUUGCCGUCGGGGACAAAAGCUUCAGGAACGUGGCUCCUCUCGGGGAGUGUUAUAGCCUGUUGCACAAUACCCUUCGGCGGGCUGAGGUACGCGCUCCGCAAGGAUGCUGGCGUAAUGGUCAUCAGCGACCCGUCUUGAAACACGGACCAAGGAGUCAACCUUAUGUGCGAGUGUUUGGGUGUUAAACCCCUACGCGUAAUGAAAGUGAACGCAGGUGAGAGCUUCGGCGCAUCAUCGACCGAUCCUGAUGUUCUCGGAUGGAUUUGAGUAAGAGCAUAUAGGGUUGGACCCGAAAGAAGGUGAACUAUGCGUGUGUAGGGUGAAGCCAGAGGAAACUCUGG
This 832-nucleotide ribosomal RNA is filed under the name Colletotrichum phormii. RNAcentral's name for it is "eukaryotic LSU rRNA". It matches the Rfam family "Eukaryotic large subunit ribosomal RNA", at positions 1 to 867 of the family's 3401-position model. The record is from RNAcentral. Lineage: Eukaryota; Fungi; Ascomycota; Sordariomycetes; Glomerellales; Glomerellaceae.